RNAcentral lists this ribosomal RNA (2911 nucleotides) under Klebsiella pneumoniae. RNAcentral describes it as "23S ribosomal RNA". It matches the Rfam family "Bacterial large subunit ribosomal RNA". The record is from RNAcentral. Lineage: Bacteria; Pseudomonadati; Pseudomonadota; Gammaproteobacteria; Enterobacterales; Enterobacteriaceae.
GGUUAAGCGACUAAGCGUACACGGUGGAUGCCCCCGGCAGUCAGAGGCGAUGAAGGACGUGCUAAUCUGCGAAAAGCGUCGGUAAGGUGAUAUGAACCGUUAUAACCGGCGAUGUCCGAAUGGGGAAACCCAGUGCAAUUCGUUGCACUAUCGUUAACUGAAUACAUAGGUUAACGAGGCGAACCGGGGGAACUGAAACAUCUAAGUACCCCGAGGAAAAGAAAUCAACCGAGAUUCCCCCAGUAGCGGCGAGCGAACGGGGAGCAGCCCAGAGUCUGAAUCAGCUUGUGUGUUAGUGGAACGGUCUGGAAAGUCCGACGGUACAGGGUGAUAGUCCCGUACACCAAAAUGCACAGGUUGUGAACUCGAAGAGUAGGGCGGGACACGUGGUAUCCUGUCUGAAUAUGGGGGGACCAUCCUCCAAGGCUAAAUACUCCUGACUGACCGAUAGUGAACCAGUACCGUGAGGGAAAGGCGAAAAGAACCCCGGCGAGGGGAGUGAAAAAGAACCUGAAACCGUGUACGUACAAGCAGUGGGAGCACCUUCGGGUGUGACUGCGUACCUUUGUAUAAUGGGUCAGCGACUUAUAUUCUGUAGCAAGGUUAACCGUAUAGGGGAGCCGCAGGGAAACCGAGUCUUAACUGGGCGUUAAGUUGCAGGGUAUAGACCCGAAACCCGGUGAUCUAGCCAUGGGCAGGUUGAAGGUUGGGUAACACUAACUGGAGGACCGAACCGACUAAUGUUGAAAAAUUAGCGGAUGACUUGUGGCUGGGGGUGAAAGGCCAAUCAAACCGGGAGAUAGCUGGUUCUCCCCGAAAGCUAUUUAGGUAGCGCCUCGUGAACUCAUCUUCGGGGGGUAGAGCACUGUUUCGGCUAGGGGGUCAUCCCGACUUACCAACCCGAUGCAAACUACGAAUACCGAAGAAUGUUAUCACGGGAGACACACGGCGGGUGCUAACGUCCGUCGUGAAGAGGGAAACAACCCAGACCGCCAGCUAAGGUCCCAAAGUCAUGGUUAAGUGGGAAACGAUGUGGGAAGGCACAGACAGCCGGGGAUGUUGGCUUAGAAGCAGCCAUCAUUUAAAGAAAGCGUAAUAGCUCACUGGUCGAGUCGGCCUGCGCGGAAGAUGUAACGGGGCUAAACCAUGCACCGAAGCUGCGGCAGCGACACUAUGUGUUGUUGGGUAGGGGAGCGUUCUGUAAGCCUGCGAAGGUGUGCUGUGAGGCAUGCUGGAGGUAUCAGAAGUGCGAAUGCUGACAUAAGUAACGAUAAAGCGGGUGAAAAGCCCGCUCGCCGGAAGACCAAGGGUUCCUGUCCAACGUUAAUCGGGGCAGGGUGAGUCGACCCCUAAGGCGAGGCCGAAAGGCGUAGUCGAUGGGAAACAGGUUAAUAUUCCUGUACUUGGUGUUACUGCGAAGGGGGGGACGGAGAAGGCUAUGUUAGCCGGGCGACGGUUGUCCCGGUUUAAGCAUGUAGGCUGAUUGUCCGAGGCAAAUCCGGAUAAUCAAGGCUGAGGUGUGAUGACGAGGCACUACGGUGCUGAAGUAACAAAUGCCCUGCUUCCGAGGAAAAGCCUCUAAGCAUCAGGUAACAUUAAAUCGUACCCCAAACCGACACAGGUGGUCAGGUAGAGAAUACCAAGGCGCUUGAGAGAACUCGGGUGAAGGAACUAGGCAAAAUGGUGCCGUAACUUCGGGAGAAGGCACGCUGGUGUGUAGGUGAAGUCCCUGCGGAUGGAGCUGAGACCAGUCGAAGAUACCAGCUGGCUGCAACUGUUUAUUAAAAACACAGCACUGUGCAAACACGAAAGUGGACGUAUACGGUGUGACGCCUGCCCGGUGCCGGAAGGUUAAUUGAUGGGGUUAUCCGUAAGGAGAAGCUCUUGAUCGAAGCCCCGGUAAACGGCGGCCGUAACUAUAACGGUCCUAAGGUAGCGAAAUUCCUUGUCGGGUAAGUUCCGACCUGCACGAAUGGCGUAAUGAUGGCCGGGCUGUCUCCACCCGAGACUCAGUGAAAUUGAACUCGCUGUGAAGAUGCAGUGUACCCGCGGCAAGACGGAAAGACCCCGUGAACCUUUACUAUAGCUUGACACUGAACAUUGAGCCUUGAUGUGUAGGAUAGGUGGGAGGCUUUGAAGCGUGGACGCCAGUCUGCGUGGAGCCAACCUUGAAAUACCACCCUUUAAUGUUUGAUGUUCUAACGUUGGCCCCUGACCGGGGUUGCGGACAGUGUCUGGUGGGUAGUUUGACUGGGGCGGUCUCCUCCCAAAGCGUAACGGAGGAGCACGAAGGUUAGCUAAUCCCCGGUCGGACAUCAGGAGGUUAGUGCAAUGGCAUAAGCUAGCUUGACUGCGAGCGUGACGGCGCGAGCAGGUGCGAAAAGCAGGUCAUAGUGAUCCGGUGGUUCUGAAUGGAAGGGCCAUCGCUCAACGGAUAAAAGGUACUCCGGGGAUAACAGGCUGAUACCGCCCAAGAGUUCAUAUCGACGGCGGUGUUUGGCACCUCGAUGUCGGCUCAUCACAUCCCUCGGGGCUGAAGUAGGUCCCAAGGGUAUGGCUGUUCGCCAUUUAAAGUGGUACGCGAGCUGGGUUUAGAACGUCGUGAGACAGUUCGGUCCCUAUCUGCCGUGGGCGCUGGAGAAUUGAGGGGGGCUGCUCCUAGUACGAGAGGACCGGAGUGGACGCAUCACUGGUGUUCGGGUUGUCAUGCCAAUGGCACUGCCCGGUAGCUAAAUGCGGAAGAGAUAAGUGCUGAAAGCAUCUAAGCACGAAACUUGCCCCGAGAUGAGUUCUCCCUGAGACUUUAAGUCUCCUGAAGGAACGUUGAAGACGACGACGUUGAUAGGCCGGGUGUGUAAGCGCAGCGAUGCGUUGAGCUAACCGGUACUAAUGAACCGUGAGGCUUAACCUU